Molecule: long non-coding RNA, 274 nt
Organism: Manduca sexta (tobacco hornworm)
Lineage: Eukaryota; Metazoa; Arthropoda; Insecta; Lepidoptera; Sphingidae
Exons: 2
Source: RefSeq, a predicted model, not a curated record
GUAUAGUCGUGCGGCAACAUGGCCCGAAUUAUUGUCUUGAUGGUAGCAUUGUGCAUAGCAGCAUCAUCAGCAUUUCCAGGACUUCACAUCCAUACAGGAUACCACCCAGUAGCAGUAGCUCCAGUGGUACAUACUGUGCCAGUAGUCCAUGCAGUGCAUACCCCAGUACACAGUGUAUAUGCAGUGCCUGUGACGCAUGCAGUACAUCCAGUGCCAAUCGUCAAGCACAAAGUUAAAACUUAUCACAUUUUUGGUAAAUAAAAUGGUUUGAAUA